This 251-nucleotide ribosomal RNA is filed under the name uncultured Pseudomonas sp. RNAcentral describes it as "partial 16S ribosomal RNA". It matches the Rfam family "Bacterial small subunit ribosomal RNA", at positions 99 to 356 of the family's 1533-position model. The record is from RNAcentral. Lineage: Bacteria; Pseudomonadati; Pseudomonadota; Gammaproteobacteria; Pseudomonadales; Pseudomonadaceae.
CGGACGGGUGAGAAUGCUGGAAUCUGCCUGGUAGUGGGGGACAACGUUUCGAAAGGAACGCUAAUACCGCAUACGUCCUACGGGAGAAAGCAGGGGACCUUCGGGCCUUGCGCUAUCAGAUGAGCCUAGGUCGGAUUAGCUAGUUGGUGAGGUAAUGGCUCACCAAGGCGACGAUCCGUAACUGGUCUGAGAGGAUGAUCAGUCACACUGGAACUGAGACACGGUCCAGACUCCUACGGGAGGCAGCAGCG